CCCCCGGACUCCCCAGAAUAAGAGGGGAGAGGCCCGGAGCGGAGGGUGAAGGUGUUUCUGAGGGUGAGGAGUGGGUGGGCCGGAGACGAGUUUGGCUUCGAGGCUGGGAUUGUACGCUUCAACCACUGGCUACCUGCACCUGGGCCGAACCCUGCCAACUCCUCGCACUCUGGGGACGCGUGGAAAAGAACUGGCGAAGACUCAAGCCGUUUGGUGGGAGGAGGUCACAUAUCCAUUUUGAUCAUAUCUCAGUGAAUGGUGUAAGAUAUUGGUCUAUACCUAGUUUCUGCCAAACUACUUUCCAAUUGUCCCAGUAAUUUUUCUUCCCAAAACCUGGAUCCAUACUUUUGUCAAAUAUAAGGUGAUUAUAAUCUUUUGCUACUGUUUGUUGUAUGUCUGCUCUGUUCCACUGAUCUGCCUUUCUAUUUCUCAGCCUACUAGUACCAAAUAGUUUUGAUAAUUACUGCUUUAUAAUAUAGUUUAAAAUCUGGCACUGCUAGACUUGCUUCUUUUACAUUUUUUUCAUUAAUUCAUUUUAUAUUCUUUUGUCCUUCCAAAAUAUUAUUUUUCCUAGCUUAAUGAAGUAUUUUUGGUAUUAUCAUUAAUAUAUUAAUAUUAUUUCCCACAGAGAGAAUUUGUGGAGCCUGGAUUGUUACAAAGACAGUUCUCAGCCACUGGUCUACCUAUAGUAAUGAGGCAGAGGAUGAGAAACAAAGGAGAAAUGAUUUGAGAAAGCUAACACUAAGCUGAUCUACUUCAGAGGCAGAACUUGGAUGAGGGGGUGAUGGAAGUCACAUAGAAGCAAACUGAAACUUGAUGCCAGGAGGUUUAUUAACUAUUUAAGCUGUUCCCAAAGCGGAAUGAAUCCCCAGGAGGUAAUGAUUUCCCUGACACUGAAUAUUUUUGAGUACAGGAGAUAGAGAAAUCCCAUUUAAAUUAAUUGUAGACAAUAUAAAAUACCUGGGAAUCUACCUGCCAAGACACACCAAGGAACUGCAUGAACACAAACACAGAACACUUUUCACACAGAUAAAGUCAGAUCUAAACAAUUGGGAAAACAGUUGCACAUGGCUAGGCCAAACCAAUAUAAUGAAAAUGACAGUUCUGCCAAAAUUAAUUUACCCAUUCAGCGCCAUACUAAUCAAAC
This 1147-nucleotide long non-coding RNA is filed under the name Monodelphis domestica (gray short-tailed opossum). Its description in RNAcentral is "lncRNA (ENSMODG00000040285.1)". Lineage: Eukaryota; Metazoa; Chordata; Mammalia; Didelphimorphia; Didelphidae. The record is from RNAcentral.